Long non-coding RNA from Rhea pennata, 831 nucleotides. RefSeq lists it as uncharacterized. The record is from RefSeq and is a predicted model, not a curated record. The transcript has 4 exons. NCBI's taxonomy places the organism in Eukaryota, Metazoa, Chordata, Aves, Rheiformes, Rheidae.
GGCGCUUGAGGAGGUGAAGCGCAGCUGCCCUCGCGGCCGCUUCUCGCGGUUGAGGCCGCUCUGUGUCGACGCCGCGUGCAGACCGUCUCCGGCACCUGGGCGGAGCGCCGCGCUCGGGAAGGUUGCCCAGGGUGGAAGGCAAUCCUUGACAGAAUGCUGUUUAACGCAGGAGUAACUGAACUAAGUAUGUCUGAAGUUGCCUCAGCUGCCAGAAUAGUAAAACUGAAACACGGCGAGUUAGAUAUGGUCAUCUGCAGCUUGAUCAUUGAAGUUGGAAUAGGGGGUGAUUUGCCAUCAUGUUCAGCAGCAGACCAGCUCCAGCUCAGAGUGAAUCACUGGGAGGCUGAGAAGAGCCCCAGGAGCUCCUGACUCAUCACAGCCCCAUGUUGCUGUGAUGGUUGUAUCCCAGCUCAAAACUCUCAUUGAUCAUUGAAAUUACAAAAGCUGUCAUAUGCGAGGAGCACAAAAACACUCACCCUUGCGGAUUCUAAGUUGGAAGUUUGCAUUAUGAGAGCUUUGGUGUUUGCUCCUUGGUGGACAUGAACACAUGCCUGUGACUAACAUGUUGCAGAGACUGUGGAGCAAUUGUGCUAGUGCUGCUAAUGUUGACACAGCUAUGGAAGCAACACUACCAUAAAGAAGCCAGCAUCAUUAAAGUGGCUCCUAUCAGCAGCACGUAAGUGCUUUGAACUUUGUGAUCAUUUUCUGAGUGGAUACAUCAAAUGGGUCAGUCGCUUUGAGUCUGGCCAUCUCCAAGUUUCACGUGAAAGCUGCCUGGUGUGGGGACGUACAAAGAGGAAAGCUCAGAAGUUUGCUGUGUCCUGAGGAGCA